This is a long non-coding RNA of Canis lupus familiaris (dog), 2462 nucleotides long. RefSeq lists it as uncharacterized. Lineage: Eukaryota; Metazoa; Chordata; Mammalia; Carnivora; Canidae. The record is from RefSeq and is a predicted model, not a curated record. The transcript has 3 exons.
UUUGGUGAGGAGUCAACUUCUAAAGACUGGCAAUUUUAUGCUCAAGCGGCGGCCCCGGGUUCCAAAGCUGUUGUCAAGCUGCAGGAAGCCCCCGACACCAGAUUUGGGUCUACUCUUAGAGAAACAGCAACAACAGCUAAGCAAGCGUCUAUCAUCUCUGAGCAAGUAAGUGAUUUGCAUACAUCAUCUCCUCUAAAAUUCACGGCAGACCCACAUCAUCUCUGAGGUUAAACAACUUGCCCACACGACAGAACUGCCAGCCCCGGAGAGACUUCACGCAAUCACCCUCUGACUCUUCAGAAAGGAGCCUUGGAAAGGACUUGGAAGCUCCACACCUCUUCCACACACCUUGCCCUACCCACCUCUUCCUUUUGGCUGUUCCUAAAUUAUAUCCUUUGAUCACAAACCAGUAAUCUACUCCAGGUGGAACCAACCCAGAAGAGAACAGAGGGAUGGUUCUUGGCUCUGUGCGUCCAUCCACUCUCCCCACCACAUCUGGGCAGGAAGGACCACUCUGUACCCACACCCUGCCUUUGGAGAGUGCCUCAUUUUAUAAAGGCUGGAUUUAAAAAUCAGACAUCUGGUAGCUGGAAGUGCCAGGAUUCAACCCAGGUCUCGCUCCAAAACUGUUUGCACUUUGCCAAAAUUCUAUGUUGUUGACAUGUCUGUCUACCUAGAAAGCCCAAGAGGAUCCAUCAAAACCCUAUCAGGGCGACAAAGAGAGCUCAGCAAGUUGACUGUGUUUCAAAUAACUUUAACCAUUUCAGACAAUAUGAUGAAACAAUUUACUCCUUAAGGUACCUGCUCAGAUCGGGGUGACUCCUUCUCUGGGCUAUGUUUCUAGAAUCAAAAGAAACCAGCAAGGGUGGCUGCCCCUGGGGAGGAAACUAAGUGACGGGGAAUGGGAGUAGGAGGGAGAUUUAUAUCUCACUGUUCAACGCUUGAUUGUUGUGCCCUAUGAAUAUGUUACCUAUUGAAAAUCAAAAUUCCAUGGGAUUAAUAAGCGGUGAGGCAAAAAGUUCAGGAUAUCAGAGCAUCUGGCUGGCUCAGUCGGAGCAGAGGAGCAUGCGACUCUUAAUCUCAGGGUCAUAAAUUCGAGCCCCACGUUAGGUGUAGAGAUUACUAAAAAAAAAUAAAUAAAUAAAUGUAAAAGAACUUUUUAAAAAAUGUUCAGGAUAUUAGCAGGGAUAUUAAUGGGACAUUAAACAUCAGGACGUUAGAACUACUGUUGAGUUAUUCUAUCACCUCUGAAUAAUUUUCAACCUAAAAGAAUAUUAAACAAGAUUUAGAUGCUACUAGGUACAGAGGUAGAAGCCUCUCUAAUGAAAUUUACUGUUUUUUUUCAAAUGUCUAAGAAGAUAGGAACUCCCCCUCCUAUUUUUGGGGGAUAGAUUAACAAAGGUUUUGCUGUUACCUGGAGGUUACUUUGCUCCAGAGGAUAGUUUAUUACUCCUUUUAUUACUUCCCUCUGGAUAAAAUGACUGUCAGGUUAAGAUCCAAUUACCUCUGUCUCAGAAGGUUCAAUGUGCAUUUCUCUUUCUCUCUCUCUCUCUCCUUUUUAAAGAAAGCUAUUAAACAAUAAGACAUCAUUAAUUUGAGGCAGAAAGAGUUCUCACAGCAAAACCUUAAGAGCAUUUAAAUGCUUUAUUCUAAUAAUUAAAGUUCUCUCUUGCAAAGGGUACACUUAGAUCCAGGGCAUCUUGAGUGCUUUUAUGGAGAGGAGUCCAUGGUCACAGUUCACCAGUCCCAUGAGAUUUUCCAAAAGAGGAAGAACUAUUCGUUGUAACAUGGAAGGAGGCUUCUGUUAUGUAGAAGAAAAACUGACCAAGCGUCCUCUGGAAUAGAUAAUAUUUACACCAGCAACCAAAAUAUAAAAUACCAAGAGAUCUUUUAAAGAACUGCACAGGGGAUCCCUGGGUGGUGCAGUGGUUUGGCGCCUGCCUUUGGCCCAGGGCACGAUCCUGAAGACCCGGGAUCGAAUCCCACGUCGGGCUCCCGGUGCAUGGGGCCUGCUUCUCCCUCUGCCUGUGUCUCUGCCUCUGUGUGUGUGUGUGUGACUAUCAUAAAUAAAAAUUAAAAAAAAAAUAAAGAACUGCACAGAUCUGGGAGGGAAAACACCAGGAAAAAAAUUUCUGAUCAUCAAAAAAUAGGGACUUGAAUAGAUGGAGGGAUUUGCAGAAAGUACCGACAAAGACCUCAUACCCUGGCGUCACAGGCACCUGCUAAGCCUAUAGACAGACAGCUCACUUGUAAAAAUGAGGUGCCUCGCAGUACCUGCUACAGCAGUGAACAUCAGAGAGAUGCCUGCAGAGCGGGGGCACUGGUACCUGUGAGGCGGUCUGUGUCACGCUGGGUUUCACAGAGGAUAAAGAUGCCAGCAUUUUCCUCAAUCAAUGGGGCAGAGGCCUAGACAAGUUAGGUUUCUUGACAAACUGUAUUUUCUUUUUUUUUUUUAUUUUUUA